GUGAAACCGCGAAAGGCUCAUUAAAUCAGUUAUGGUUCCUUAGAUGGUACGCACAGUUACUUGGAUAACUGUGGUAAUUCUAGAGCUAAUACAUGCAAAUAGAGUCCCGACCUUUCUUUGGAAGGGAUGCUUUUAUUAGAUCAAAACCAAUCGGGCUUCACGGCCUGUUUUUCUUGGUGACUCUGAAUAACUUUGAGCUGAUCGCACGGUCACGUACCGGCGACGCAUCUUUCAAAUGUCUGCCUUAUCAACUGUCGAUGGUAGGUUUUGCGCCUACCAUGGUUGUAACGGGUAACGGGGAAUCAGGGUUCGAUUCCGGAGAGGGAGCCUGAGAGACAGCUACCACAUCCAAGGAAGGCAGCAGGCGCGCAAAUUACCCACUCCCGGCACGGGGAGGUAUUGACGAAAAAUAACGAUGCA
RNAcentral lists this ribosomal RNA (420 nucleotides) under Neotrogla curvata. RNAcentral describes it as "SSU rRNA". It matches the Rfam family "Eukaryotic small subunit ribosomal RNA", at positions 81 to 487 of the family's 1831-position model. The record is from RNAcentral. Lineage: Eukaryota; Metazoa; Arthropoda; Insecta; Psocodea; Prionoglarididae.